GUCUAUGGCAAUACAACCCUAAAUGCACCUGAUCUCAUCUGGUCUCAGAAGCUAAGUAGGGUUGGGCCUGGUUAGUACUUGGAUGGGAAAAAGAUCCUCAGAAGAGAUUGCUCAGAGACAAGCAGUUUGGAGACA
This 135-nucleotide ribosomal RNA is filed under the name Castor canadensis (American beaver). The record is from RNAcentral. Lineage: Eukaryota; Metazoa; Chordata; Mammalia; Rodentia; Castoridae.